RNAcentral lists this long non-coding RNA (3748 nucleotides) under Olea europaea (common olive). RNAcentral describes it as "long non-coding RNA (OEUR_LNC003916)". Lineage: Eukaryota; Viridiplantae; Streptophyta; Magnoliopsida; Lamiales; Oleaceae. The record is from RNAcentral.
UCCCACCAUUAAUGAGCAUUAUUCAGAAUGAUGCCUCUGGGAGUAUUGUACAUUUGGGUGUUUCUUGCGAUGGUUGUGGGUCCCAUCCCAUAACUGGACCUAGGUUCAAGUCAAAAGUGUAAGAACUAAGACAGUGACCUUACUAACUUUCUGAUGAAUAUCUACAGAAUCUUUAUAUGUUAAACUGAUCAGUCUUUUAUUGCAGAAAAUAUAACUAUGAUCUGUGCCAAAUCUGUUUUCUUAAAAUGGGAAAUGUUUCUGAUUAUAUUAGAAUUGCUCAUGAGGGGGAUCAUCAGUACCCCACGUCUAUCAAGGAAUUGUAUGGCCAUGUAUGUAAAAUUCAUUGUCCUGUUUGUUUCUUUAUUAAGCAUUUAUCAUAUCUUUUAUUUGUUAAAUUUUAUUGCUCCUGUCUACUCUUAACACAGCAUGCUAAGGACCGGGUGAUCUUCAGUGGUUGCAAUGAUAGAAUGGGUAUAGCAAAGCUAGACAGUCGCUUCAUUCAGGAUGUGAAUAUUUUCGAUGAAACUGUGAUGGCCCCUUUGACUCCAUUUACCAAGAUUUGGCGGAUGGGGAACAUUGGUGCAUCGGCGUGGCCCCAAAAAACACAACUUGUUUGGACUGGGGGAGACAGAUUAAGUAAUGCAUUUCCGGUUGAAGUAGAGGUUGGUUAUCACCAUUUUUUUUUUUUGGAUGCAAGGGCUUAAUGUGUACCCCCCACCCCCCGGGUGUUUCUAGUGAAAAUUCUGCAAUUGAUUUUGGAUAUCUCUUGGGCUUUUGAUUUGUCUCUAAAACCCUUAAGUUAUUCUGUGGCAUACAGUAGAAAAUUGCUAGAUGCUGAGACUUCUCUGUUUUAUUCUUUCCUUUGUUAGUUACAAUUUUAGAAUUUGAAUUUUGCAACUAUGUAUUCAUUUUGUGUCAUGAAAUCUCUCACAGCUUUUCUUUUCCUUUUUAUGAUACAUGCUUUCUAAAUUAUUGCUUCUAAUAUUUGCCUUAGAUUAACUUUCUGGAUUUUUUUUAUGAUUUUUAUUCAUUUGCCCAAUCUCAAAGAGCAUCUUCAAUGAACCUAACCUCCCUUAUUAGGCCUUUUCAAUUAUUUUACUUUUAACUCCCCAUGUUUGUUCUAACUAUCAUGAUCCUAAGUUCUAAUUCUUUCUUGAUGAUCUUAGACAAAUAUACUUAGAAGAAUGUCUUGUAUGGGUAUGUUUAUAAAACACACAGAGAGAGGUUUCAUUUUGUUAUUGCUCAUUUUGAAUAUGUGUCUCUGCUAGCAACUUUGACCGAGGUCAAAAUUAUGUGCUCAAGUGAUAUGCAUUUAAAUCUGGAUGAGAAAUAAUUAUAGCAAUAGGCCUGCUAGUAUGAAGCUUGUAAAUACAUGGGUCUGCAAGCUAUAUCUAGUAUAGAUGUUUGUAUAGGGCCGAUCUACUUUUUAGCAUUUGUUAGUUAUUUUUCUACAUCUGUUAUUCAUUAUACUAUCUUUCCCCACUCAGUCCCUAUGUCAUCUGAGUUUUUUUUCUCCCUAAUGUUGUUGUGGCAACAUUUCUACAGGCAAAGUACGGGGACAUGCUCAGGCGGUUCAAUGCCCAAAUUGUUGACAAGGAACUGUAUCUUAAUUUUGAUGGACUGAGAGAGAAGAUCUGUUCAUUAUUCAAUUUUGUUCCUGAUACUGAGUUCACACUUACCUAUAUUGAUGAAGAUGGUGAUGUGGUGACGAUUGUUAAUGAUGAUGAUCUGCAUGAUGUGGUAAGGCAGGCCCUGAACCCCUUAAGGAUUACUGUGAAGGUGAACACUGAGCAGAAUGGCAGAGAAUAUGCUCGUUCAAGUGGGAGUUCAACUCCCUUGAGAUUGCCUAGAGUUCAGCAACCCUUCCGAAAGCUGAACGCAAACGUCUCUGAAAUUUUGAAAUCUGUGCCAGAGCCUCUAUGUGAAACUCUCUUGAAGCUUUCAACUGAGUUGUCAUCUAAAACCUCCUCCUCUGCACCAGGUAUUGCCGAGCUUGCUGUAUACUUCUCAAAGAUAGGUUUGUCCUACCUAGAUCAGCUUUCAGAGUCCAAAUCUGAAGUGCAGUCUUGUACACCAAGCGAGGUUCCUGAAAGCUCCUCAGCCGCAAGAGAAACCAAAGAUUUGAAUUCCUCCAAGCCUGAAGAGUGUUCUUUGAGAAUCAAUGAGGGCUUGCCAAAAUUUAAACCUGGGGGAGCCUUGGGAAACAAUGAGCUGAAACCGGGAAAUACAAUUGCAAGUAGCACAGACCCCUUACCUUUGGAAGUACCUGGCCUCAAAGCUGUAGAUGCAGCAAUUGGCUCUCUGAAUUUUGAUGUUGGAUACCCCAACAAUGAAUCUCUGCACGAAUCAUCACACCUGGAUCCUAAACCAAGGGUUGUGGCUGCUACUGUUGAUAAGAAGAAAAAGUUGAAGAAGAUUAUUCAAUGUUACGAAGAGGCUCCUUUGGCAUCAUCUAGUCCGCCACUUGUUGCAAAUGAUGUUCCUAUUCAAAAGGGGGUUGAUAAGCCUAGUGAGCCUCAGGUUGGACCAAAGCCUUCUAAUGUGGGUUCUUCCACUGGUAAUGCUGAUCCUACGAAAUGGGGCCAUCCAGUUGGUGGGAUAAAUUAUUUAGUAGAGAGUGGUUCUGAGAACUCUCCAGUCUCACAGUUUGGUCGUGGUUCUCUUAACAAGUCUCCACUUUUUGGAAUGCCUCUACGAAAUGAUUCAGCUGCCCCCCCAUAUUCCAGCAUCCCACCAUUAAUGAGCAUUAUUCAGAAUGAUGCCUCUGGGAGUAUUGUACAUUUGGGUGUUUCUUGCGAUGGUUGUGGGUCCCAUCCCAUAACUGGACCUAGGUUCAAGUCAAAAGUGUAAGAACUAAGACAGUGACCUUACUAACUUUCUGAUGAAUAUCUACAGAAUCUUUAUAUGUUAAACUGAUCAGUCUUUUAUUGCAGAAAAUAUAACUAUGAUCUGUGCCAAAUCUGUUUUCUUAAAAUGGGAAAUGUUUCUGAUUAUAUUAGAAUUGCUCAUGAGGGGGAUCAUCAGUACCCCACGUCUAUCAAGGAAUUGUAUGGCCAUGUAUGUAAAAUUCAUUGUCCUGUUUGUUUCUUUAUUAAGCAUUUAUCAUAUCUUUUAUUUGUUAAAUUUUAUUGCUCCUGUCUACUCUUAACACAGCAUGCUAAGGACCGGGUGAUCUUCAGUGGUUGCAAUGAUAGAAUGGGUAUAGCAAAGCUAGACAGUCGCUUCAUUCAGGAUGUGAAUAUUUUCGAUGAAACUGUGAUGGCCCCUUUGACUCCAUUUACCAAGAUUUGGCGGAUGGGGAACAUUGGUGCAUCGGCGUGGCCCCAAAAAACACAACUUGUUUGGACUGGGGGAGACAGAUUAAGUAAUGCAUUUCCGGUUGAAGUAGAGGUUGGUUAUCACCAUUUUUUUUUUUGUGCAUGGUUUCUAAUACCAGUUUGUGUAUAAUCAUCUCUUUUAUAUGGUCAGAUUCUUGUAUAAUUUUACACGUGUAUAGCAUUUGGUUUUUUUUGGCGUUUCUCAUAUUUUCUUCUACGUCUUUUUCUUCUAAAUGGUAGCAACUUGUUUGGUUAUGCUUCAUUUUCCGUUUCUACUUUUUGAUACUACUAAUUCUUAUUUCUUUUUGUCUGCAGUGAAGGAUGACACCUUGUCUUUGCAUGUAUCUUCUAUUAGUAUUAGUAGAUUUUUAUAAUAAUUAUCAUCAAAAGAAAAGAUUAAUCCUCGUGAUUUUUUUUCCAUCGCUAGAUUC